UACGAAGGGGCUAGCGUUGUUCGGAUUUACUGGGCGUAAAGCGCACGUAGGCGGAUCGUUAAGUCGGGGGUGAAAUCCUGGAGCUCAACUCCAGAACUGCCUUCGAUACUGGCGAUCUCGAGUCCGGAAGAGGUGAGUGGAACUCCUAGUGUAGAGGUGGAAUUCGUAGAUAUUAGAAGAACACCAGUGGCGAAGGCGGCUCACUGGCCCGGUACUGACGCUGAGGUGCGAAAGCGUGGGGAGCAACAGG
RNAcentral lists this ribosomal RNA (250 nucleotides) under uncultured bacterium. RNAcentral's name for it is "partial 16S ribosomal RNA". It matches the Rfam family "Bacterial small subunit ribosomal RNA", at positions 524 to 775 of the family's 1533-position model. The record is from RNAcentral.